AGUGAACGCUGGCGGUAGGCCUAACACAUGCAAGUCGAACGGCAGCACAGUAAGAGCUUGCUCUUACGGGUGGCGAGUGGCGGACGGGUGAGGAAUACAUCGGAAUCUACUUUUUCGUGGGGGAUAACGUAGGGAAACUUACGCUAAUACCGCAUACGACCUACGGGUGAAAGCAGGGGAUCUUCGGACCUUGCGCGAUUGAAUGAGCCGAUGUCGGAUUAGCUAGUUGGCGGGGUAAAGGCCCACCAAGGCGACGAUCCGUAGCUGGUCUGAGAGGAUGAUCAGCAAAACUGGAACUGAGACAGGGUCCAGACUCCUACGGGAGGCAGCAGUGGGAAAUAUUGGACAAGGGGCGCAAGCCUGAUCCAGCCAUACCGCGUGGGUGAAGAAGGCCUUCGGGUGGUAAAGCCCUUUUGUUGGGAAAGAAAAGCAGCAGGUUAAUACCCCGCUGUUCUGACGGUACCCAAAGAAUAAGCACCGGCUAACUUCGU
RNAcentral lists this ribosomal RNA (491 nucleotides) under uncultured bacterium. RNAcentral describes it as "partial 16S ribosomal RNA". It matches the Rfam family "Bacterial small subunit ribosomal RNA", at positions 29 to 506 of the family's 1533-position model. The record is from RNAcentral.